Molecule: ribosomal RNA, 461 nt
Filed under: uncultured bacterium
Lineage: Bacteria
Description: bacterial SSU rRNA
Rfam family: Bacterial small subunit ribosomal RNA
Source: RNAcentral
AACUAACGCUGGCGGCGCGCCUAAUACAUGCAAGUCGAACGAUGUAGCAAUACAUAGUGGCGCACGGGAGAGUAACACGUGGAUAAUCUCCCCUCGAGAGAAGAAUAACUAGUCGAAAGAUUGGCUAAUACUUCGUAAGACCACAGAAACAAAUGUUUCAGGGGUAAAAGUCGUAAGACGCUUGAGGAUGAGUCUGCGUCCCAUUAGCUAGUUGGUGAGGUAAUGGCUCACCAAGGCUUCGAUGGGUAGCUGGUCUGAGAGGAUGAUCAGCCUCACUGGAACUGACACACGGUCCAGACUCCUACGGGAGGCAGCAGUAGGGAAUAUUGCACAAUGGAGGAACUCUGAUGCAGCGACGCCGCGUGAGUGAUGAAGGACUUCGGUUUGUAAAGCUCUGUUGUCAGGGAAUAAAAAAAUAGAAUGUACCUGACGAGAAAGGACCGGACGUAACUUACGUUGCC